Molecule: ribosomal RNA, 253 nt
Filed under: uncultured bacterium
Lineage: Bacteria
Description: partial 16S ribosomal RNA
Rfam family: Bacterial small subunit ribosomal RNA
Source: RNAcentral
UACAGAGGUGGCGAGCGUUGUUCGGAUUUACUGGGCGUAAAGGGUGCGUAGGCGGUUUUGUAUGUCGGAUGUGAAAGCCCACGGCUCACCCGUGGAACUGCAUCCGAAACUACAGAACUAGAGUACAGUAGAGGUAAGUGGAAUUCUUGGAGUAGCGGUGAAAUGCGUAGAUAUCAAGAAGAACACCGGUGGCGAAGGCGACUUACUGGAAUGAUACUGACGCUGAUGCACGAAAGCCAGGGGAGCGAAGAGG